RNAcentral lists this ribosomal RNA (252 nucleotides) under uncultured bacterium. Its description in RNAcentral is "partial 16S ribosomal RNA". It matches the Rfam family "Archaeal small subunit ribosomal RNA", at positions 474 to 727 of the family's 1478-position model. The record is from RNAcentral.
UACCAGCACCCCGAGUGGUCGGGACGAUUAUUGGGCCUAAAGCAUCCGUAGCCGGUUUUACAAGUCCUCCGUUAAAUCCAACUGCUUAACAGAUGGGCCGCGGAGGAUACUAUAAGACUAGGAGGCAGGAGAGGCAAGCGGUACUCAGUGGGUAGGGGUAAAAUCCGUUGAUCCAUUGAAGACCACCAGUGGCGAAGGCGGCUUGCCAGAAUGCGCUCGACGGUGAGGGAUGAAAGCUGGGGAGCAAACCGG